Molecule: ribosomal RNA, 309 nt
Filed under: uncultured eukaryote
Lineage: Eukaryota
Description: partial 18S ribosomal RNA
Rfam family: Eukaryotic small subunit ribosomal RNA
Source: RNAcentral
CCCUUAGAUGUUCUGGGCGGCCCGCGCACUACAUUGGCACUGGCAACAAGAUCCUAGAUCUGGUAUUUCGGGGUAUUCUACCAACUGGUGUCGUGACUGGGAUUAACCCCUGCAAUUAUUGGUUAUGAACGAGGAAUUCCUUGUAAUCACGGUUUAUCAACCCGUGUUGAAUGCGUCCCCGCCCUUUGUACACACCGCCCGUCGCUCCUACCGAUGAAUCGUCCGGUGAAGUUCAUGGAGUCGCGGCUGCUCCAGCUGUUUUCGAAGUGAAAUGGACCUCAUGAUUUAGAGGAAGGAGAAGUCGUANCA